Brienomyrus brachyistius is the source of this 1743-nucleotide long non-coding RNA. RefSeq lists it as uncharacterized. The transcript is spliced from 3 exons. NCBI's taxonomy places the organism in Eukaryota, Metazoa, Chordata, Actinopteri, Osteoglossiformes, Mormyridae. The record is from RefSeq and is a predicted model, not a curated record.
GCAGACAUACUGCAGUGGGACGUUGGUUUAACAUCGCAGUGUCGUUAAAUGAUCGCAUUCCAUUGAAGCCUAUUACCAAUAUUUAAAUUAUUACAUAAACUAUAAUGUGCGUUUCAGCUAGCGCAUUUUCCCCAGUUAUUUUACUUUAAGUUAAGCAUAACUGUCAGGUCUGUCAUGUCAUUAUUUAAAAUAAUAAACGUGCAGCUUUUAAACAGUUAAACUGUAUGUAGUAUACCCAGAUAGCAUCAUGGUAUUGUUUCAACGAUGAAUUAUAGUAUAGUACUAAAUUAUCAACGUUGAAACUGAAUUGAUUUUGGUCAGAUUUUCAAUAUUGAACAAUUGAUGGUGGCAAAACCUUGAUUCAAUGUUGAUAUAAAGUGAAAGAUUGGAGAUCGACGUUGUUUCAACCUUUUUGUCUGAUAUGGAAUCAAUGUCAUUUCAACAUAUGUGCGUUAUCGGGGUGUGACUUUAAACAGUAUUAUUACACGUAUAAUUAGAACAAAUGUACGCUAUAUAGUAAAUAAAUACAACCCCUAUUGUGAGUUAUAUAACCUAAAUGAAGGAAUGUGAAAUCAACACUUGUCUCUGCGACAUUGUGCCAGUGGGCGAAUGAGAUGCAUGUUUGCUCUCUGGGUGUUAAAAGACAUUGUUAUCAUAUCAGAAAACUGGAGAAAAAGAAGCAUCAUCGCUCCAGCCAUCUAUAUUUGAAGUUUAUAGUGGAAUGAUAUGGAUUUGCUCUGCUUAAGCCUCAGUUGGAGAGACAUCGAAGGGAGAGAAUAAAGCGAAGUCUGCAGAGUCUGAAAGCACCUCCUUCUGCGGGAGUCCCGGCAGCAGGAAACGAUAUGCAGUCGAAUGGAAAAAUCUGAAAUACUGCGGCACACGGUCCUCUUUCUGCGAAGCUCAGUUGACAGGGGGACGGAGGAGCACUUUCAGGAUGGGUUCUCAGCUUGCCUCCAGCGAGCUUGGCAGUUCUUACAGGACGAAGAUGAGGGACAACAAGCUCUACUCGCCAUCUUCUACAAUCGUCUUUCGCACACCCCAACCUGGGGUAUCGCAACCUGUCUCCUUUCACAUUCACAAGGGAGUAAGCCGAGCUUAAUGGCAGGUCAGUCGUACCUACAGGCAUCGUCUUCUCCUCAAAGGAAUUACCAUUCUGUCUAUUCCAGAAGGUUGCUGGCACAGCUAUAUCACAGAGUUCUUCAAGCCCAGCGAGAUGUUGCUUCUCUAUCCACACAUAACCAAACUCUGUGGAGACCAUGGCCUUAAGCCCCUCCCUGCAGGGAAAAAAAACAAUAAACAUUUUGAUGUUUAAUUAUCUAUGAGUCAGCUGAAAAAUAUCAGAAAAGAAACAUCAAUUAAUCUGAUUAUAUUGUAUAAUCUGUGUCAUGAUCUGUCUCUGUCAGUCCUGUUGUGUUCCUGUUUGGCCAGCAGAGGCCCCUGCGGUCCAUCCUGUUUAACCCCCGGUCAUUUUCACCUGUUCCCAGUUACAUGCCAUUCCUAGUGUUUGGUUUGUUAAUGACUCACACUGGUCCCUCAUCUGCUCCUCAGGAUCCAUGUAUAUAUGAACCUACUUGCUUUCUGUUUUCAGUGUUAGCACUGCAUGUCUGUUCUCUGCAGUGGUUAGUUAAUGGUUCCCGUUGUUGUCUUAUCCAAACUACAUCCCUGUUUUAGGUUUGCCCUGAACCCUUUUUAUGGUCCUUUUGUUUCUGUUUGAAUGUAUUUAGUUGUAUUUUGUUACUUCAA